Molecule: RNA transcript, 519 nt
Organism: Tribolium castaneum (red flour beetle)
Lineage: Eukaryota; Metazoa; Arthropoda; Insecta; Coleoptera; Tenebrionidae
Exons: 3
Source: RefSeq, a predicted model, not a curated record
UUCAAGCAACCAAUUGUCAAAAAUUUGACACAAGUGAUGUGACAAUGCGUUCAAAAUACAAAAUUAUUCUGUCAGUUGAUUUUCACAAAACUCAGACUUAAUGAAUUUUCGAGCGAAAAAAACGCCCAGUCCCGAAACAAUCGAAAUAACUUUUCUCAAACACGACGAUAGUUUCUCAUGGCCAAGCCCACAAAGUGAUGAACUAGACGUUAUCACCCCCAACUGUUCCACAUGUUCCCUUGACAUGAACUUCGACAAAAACAGCGUUAUCAGCGAGUUAUCCUCAGUGUCAAGCCUGGACGGACCCAUCGAAGACAUUUACUGCAAACGUCGCCCAUCCAGACUCCGGAUUAGUAAUCGCACGCGCAUCGAACCCUCAAUCCUCAACCACGUCCUCGACUUCCUCUCCACCUGCUUUUGGAAAUGUUCAACGGGUUGUCAACAAUUACCAGACAAGCAUUUUUGAUUAAUAUUUUUUUUAUUGUUCUUACAAAAAUAAAUAAAAAGUUAUAAACCAAA